AUUGAACGCUGGCGGCAGGCCUAACACAUGCAAGUCGAGCGGAUGAAGGGAGCUUGCUCCUGGAUUCAGCGGCGGACGGGUGAGUAAUGCCUAGGAAUCUGCCUGGUAGUGGGGGAUAACGUCCGGAAACGGGCGCUAAUACCGCAUACGUCCUGAGGGAGAAAGUGGGGGAUCUUCGGACCUCACGCUAUCAGGUGAGCCUAGGUCGGAUUAGCUAGUUGGUGGGGUAAAGGCCUACCAAGGCGACGAUCCGUAACUGGUCUGAGAGGAUGAUCAGUCACACUGGAACUGAGACACGGUCCAGACUCCUACGGGAGGCAGCAGUGGGGAAUAUUGGACAAUGGGCGAAAGCCUGAUCCAGCCAUGCCGCGUGUGUGAAGAAGGUCUUCGGAUUGUAAAGCACUUUAAGUUGGGAGGAAGGGCAGUAAGUUAAUACCUUGCUGUUUUGACGUUACCAACAGAAUAAGCACCGACUAACUUCGUG
RNAcentral lists this ribosomal RNA (484 nucleotides) under uncultured bacterium. RNAcentral describes it as "partial 16S ribosomal RNA". It matches the Rfam family "Bacterial small subunit ribosomal RNA", at positions 30 to 507 of the family's 1533-position model. The record is from RNAcentral.